Molecule: ribosomal RNA, 652 nt
Filed under: Candida maltosa
Lineage: Eukaryota; Fungi; Ascomycota; Pichiomycetes; Serinales; Debaryomycetaceae
Description: LSU rRNA
Rfam family: Eukaryotic large subunit ribosomal RNA
Source: RNAcentral
UUUUUCAACAUUUGACCUCAAAUCAGGUAGGACUACCCGCUGAACUUAAGCAUAUCAAUAAGCGGAGGAAAAGAAACCAACAGGGAUUGCCUUAGUAGCGGCGAGUGAAGCGGCAAAAGCUCAAAUUUGAAAUCUGGUACUUUCAGUGCCCGAGUUGUAAUUUGAAGAAGGUAUCUUUGGGUCUGGCGCUUGUCUAUGUUUCUUGGAACAGAACGUCACAGAGGGUGAGAAUCCCGUGCGAUGAGAUGAUCCAGACCUAUGUAAAGUUCCUUCGACGAGUCGAGUUGUUUGGGAAUGCAGCUCUAAGUGGGUGGUAAAUUCCAUCUAAAGCUAAAUAUUGGCGAGAGACCGAUAGCGAACAAGUACAGUGAUGGAAAGAUGAAAAGAACUUUGAAAAGAGAGUGAAAAAGUACGUGAAAUUGUUGAAAGGGAAGGGCUUGAGAUCAGACUUGGUAUUUUGUAUGUUACUUCUUCGGGGGUGGCCUCUACAGUUUAUCGGGCCAGCAUCAGUUUGGACGGUAGGACAAUUGCGGUGGAAUGUGGCACGGCUUCGGUUGUGUGUUAUAGCCACUGUCGAUACUGCCAGUCUAGACUGAGGACUGCGGUUUUAUUACCUAGGAUGUUGGCAUAAUGAUCUUAAGUCGCCGUCUUG